Molecule: long non-coding RNA, 563 nt
Organism: Musa acuminata AAA Group (dessert banana)
Lineage: Eukaryota; Viridiplantae; Streptophyta; Magnoliopsida; Zingiberales; Musaceae
Exons: 2
Source: RefSeq, a predicted model, not a curated record
UUCGUCCUCCCCUCAACGGCCUCUCUCCGCCGCUACCCCCUCGUUGUCAAGCCCACGAGGUGAUGCAGAGCCGCACGGUCUCUGCCACCGAUGACAAGACGGAGCGGUGUAACUGCUCUCCGCCGCUCCGCCGCAUCUGAACCCCUGCUACGAGCGCCGGGUUUCGCAGGAAGAAGAAGUACCAGGCCCACGAUCCCCGGAAUCAGUUCGAGGCUCGCGACAAUGUCCAGCUCCAGAAGGUGCCGCUACAUCACGAAGACAGAAGACCGUCGUCGUCCCAGGAUGUUUCCAAGGCUGUCGACGCUGUAGGACGGAGUGGAAGAUUAAUGGAUGAUAUAUGUCAUCAAACUCUCUCAAAAUUUUGGGAUGAUAUGGAUGGUAGCGAAUGAUGAGGCUCGCUCCUCACAAUGAUGCUGUUGAUGGUAAGGAAGGAUGAAGUCCUUUUCUCAUAGGAAUAAUGAUGGAGGUAUUAUAACAUGGUCGACACCUUGGUAGCGAAUGAUGAAGCUUUGUCCUCACAAUGAUGCUGUUGAUGGUAAUGAAGGAUGAAGUCCUUUUUCUCA